GGUUGCUCAGUGGUUAAGCAUUUGGCUACUAACCAAAAGGUCUGUAGUUCGAAUCCACCAGCUA
RNAcentral lists this transfer RNA (64 nucleotides) under Loxodonta africana (African savanna elephant). It matches the Rfam family "tRNA". Rfam says of the family: Transfer RNA (tRNA) molecules are approximately 80 nucleotides in length. Their secondary structure includes four short double-helical elements and three loops (D, anti-codon, and T loops). The record is from Rfam by way of RNAcentral. Lineage: Eukaryota; Metazoa; Chordata; Mammalia; Proboscidea; Elephantidae.